This 378-nucleotide ribosomal RNA is filed under the name Triticum aestivum (bread wheat). RNAcentral describes it as "partial small subunit ribosomal RNA". Lineage: Eukaryota; Viridiplantae; Streptophyta; Magnoliopsida; Poales; Poaceae. The record is from RNAcentral.
AUGCCAACCCAAAGGGAAAACGUACUUUGCCCGAAGGCGCUUUCAGAAAACGUUUCAAAUAAAAGAGGAGAGGCUGACGAGGGGGUCCCGCAUGUCAGGUUUAAAAUCCCACAACCGGCCAAUGCAAACGAUGAUCGCCGACGACAAUCGACGGUGAUCCGGAGGAGGGCAAGGCUAUGGUUGCACUCACGGGACAAUUCCGCAUCGGUGGGUGGUGGAUUUGGUCAUCGGCGAGCACCAUGCCGACGGCGGCUUCCACUCCAGCGGACGGCGGUUCGGUCGAGGAUGGAUCCCUCCGAAGAGAGCUGCAAACGCCAAAUUGAAGCGCGGGUUAGGGGAGUGGGUGCACUAGGAGGUUCCUCCCCAAGUUUGAGCUAG